ACCCGGGGAACUGAAACAUCUAAGUACCCGGAGGAAAAGAAAACAAAAGUGAUUUCCGUAGUAGCGGCGAGCGAACUGGAAAUAGCCCAAACCAAUGAGAUUUAUCUUGUUGGGGUAGUAGGGCUGCAAAUAUGAUAUAUAAUCUGAAGUGGAAGUAUCUGGAAAGUUACACCAAAGAGAGUGAAAGUCUCGUAUACGUUAAGUUUAUAUAUUUAUGCAGUACCCUGAGUAGUGCGGGACUCGUGAAAUCCUGUAUGAAUCAACCGGGACCAUCCGGUAAGGCUAAAUACUCCUGAGAGACCGAUAGUGAACUAGUACCGUGAGGGAAAGGUGAAAAGAACCCUAAAUAAGGGAGUGAAAUAGUACCUGAAACCGUGUACUUACAAGCGGUCGGAGCCAAUUUAUUUGGUGACGGCGUGCCUUUUGCAUAAUGAGCCUACGAGUUACUGCUCACUGGCAAGGUUAAGUUAUUAAAAUGACGGAGCCGUAGCGAAAGCGAGUCUGAAUAGGGCGAAAGUCAGUGGGCGUAGACGCGAAACCUUGUGAUCUACCCAUGAGCAGGUUGAAGCUUCUGUAAUAGGAAGUGGAGGACCGAACCAGUAUACGUUGAAAAGUGUUUGGAUGACUUGUGGGUAGGGGUGAAAGGCCAAUCAAACUAGGA
This 661-nucleotide ribosomal RNA is filed under the name uncultured bacterium. Its description in RNAcentral is "bacterial LSU rRNA". It matches the Rfam family "Bacterial large subunit ribosomal RNA", at positions 183 to 843 of the family's 2925-position model. The record is from RNAcentral.